AAGAAAAGCUGUAUCGAUUGUUGAGAUCUGGCGACUUGUUUAAAUUUCAUCAGCCUCACUUCUAUGAACUCUCAGAGCUGAUUACCAACUCCUACCACUGUUAACCCUCAUCCAGGAAAAAGCUUAUGUCUUUAACAUUCUGAGUGGGCUUCAGCAUCCUUGCAUAUGUUCAAUUCUUAAAAACCUGUUGAAAUAAAAGAUCAGGAGACAUAGGAAGGAUGCCAGAAGAGAGCGUGGCCUCAUGUGUACCAGCUCUCUGCUCUCCUUUGCCUUGGGACGUUCCAUCCCUGGAAGUUUCCCUGCCCACAUCUUUGUAGAGAGUCCAUUCUCCAAGCUUCAGUGUGUCAUCUGUGAGGACUGUGACCAACCUGGUACAUCGCCUCAGGGCAUUCAUUUCAGGCUCCUUCUAAAUGGUCAAGAUCUUGCUUUCUUUUGUAUGUUUGCAAAGAAUAUAUAGUACACUUCCUUGAUCUGUGGUUCCUAAAAUGUGAUUCCCAACAAGCAGCAUCAGGAUCACCUGGAAACUUGAUAGAAAUGUAAAUUCUACAGUCCCUCCUUGGAGCUACAGAUUCAGAAAUUCUGAAGUUUAAGUCCAGCAGUUGGUUAUAAUAAGCUCUCUAGGUGAUUCCAACUCGCACCAAGGCACCCUUGGAAAUGCAAUGCUACAUCUCAAUGGGAUUUUCCAGUACAAAGAUUCUUUUCAAAUAACAUAAUUGUGGAUACACACCACUCCUACAGUGGUAAACCUCAGGUUCUCCUCCUGCCUUUUGCUAAGUAUAUGUCUUGAUGACAAGCCUUCUGCUGAUGAGCUGUGUUUCUGGACCGAUCAUGGUAGAAGUCAAUUAACGUGUCCCUCACUUGGGGUUUCUCAAGG
RNAcentral lists this long non-coding RNA (874 nucleotides) under Pan troglodytes (chimpanzee). RNAcentral describes it as "lincRNA". Lineage: Eukaryota; Metazoa; Chordata; Mammalia; Primates; Hominidae. The record is from RNAcentral.